AUUAUUUGGGGGUAAAAAGAGGGUUUAGAGCGUUGAAUGAUUGGAAGAUUAGAUGGGUUAAAUCCAAUACUUUUCUUUUAUUUUUCUCAUUUCCUUCUUUCUUUCUUCUCGUUUUCUUUUUGGAGGGAAUCUGAUCGAAAGAAGGGGAGUGAUUUGAGAGCGAGAGGACAUGGGAGUGAGCUUCUGUCAACGACGAAAUCAGAGAGAAGAGAGACCCGAAUAAGUGGUUACCAUAUCCACUGUUGGAUGGCCAAAAUUGCAAGUAAUUUUACUUGCAAGUAGAAUUUGAAGCCAUAAUUUUCUAAGCCGCUGACGAGAACAAGUUUGUGUCUUGAAACUAAAUCUCUGUGGGGGAGUAAGAAAAAGUACCAAGGAUAGUGAAGAGAAAGGAAAUGCAGGAGCAGGAGAAAGAAGGGAAAGGAGAAA
Non-coding RNA from Carica papaya (papaya), 426 nucleotides. Lineage: Eukaryota; Viridiplantae; Streptophyta; Magnoliopsida; Brassicales; Caricaceae. The record is from RefSeq and is a predicted model, not a curated record.